This 407-nucleotide ribosomal RNA is filed under the name uncultured bacterium. Its description in RNAcentral is "partial 16S ribosomal RNA". It matches the Rfam family "Bacterial small subunit ribosomal RNA", at positions 29 to 526 of the family's 1533-position model. The record is from RNAcentral.
AUUGAACGCUGGCGGCAUGCCUAACACAUGCAAGUCGAACGGCGCGGCGGACGAGUGGGUAAUUAAUAGGAAUGUGCCCGGUCGUGGGGGAUAACGUACGGAAAGGGGAGCUAAUACCGCAUCCUCUGUGCUGGGCGUAUGCCGGAGUAGCUAGUUGGUGGGGUAAAGGGCUACCAAGGCGACUAUCCGUAGCUGGGCUGAGAGGAGGAUCAGUCACACUGGAACUGGUACAGGGUCCAGACGCCUACGGGAGGCAGCAGUGGGGAAUAGUGGACAAUGGGGGAAAGCCUGAUCCAGCCAUGCCGCGUGUGUGACGAAGGCCUUCGGAUUGUAAAGCACUUUAAGGUGGGAAACGGUACCAGCAGAAUAAGCACCGGCUAACUACGUGCCAGCAGCCGCGGUAAUAC